CGAGCGGUAUCGUAAAGCCUGGUGACCUCGGUCACUCGUAGAGUGUCCUAGCUGUUCCUGAAAUGGAACGGGAAAUACUGAAAUCAGGGCCCAGGGUGAGCCGCUUC
This 107-nucleotide non-coding RNA is filed under the name unclassified sequences. The record is from Rfam.